CGGGGGCUGGGAACAAGGCGCCUGAGGCGCGCGUCCGCGCUGAACGUUCCAGCCGCCCCCGGCCGGACGGGUUUCAGGUUUGAAAAGGUGGGAAGGUUGGCUGUCCUGACGCUUUUUCUCCACGUGUUGUGCGGCUCCGCUGGAGUUCGAGUCCAGCACUUUCUACUCCGAGGGAGAGAGCCGCGGGGAGAGCCCCGUUCGGGCUCGCGGCUCGAACUGGCCGCCGGCUCCGCUGGGCAGCCUCGACACCAGGGCACCCCCGGGAGGGAGGGCGCGGCUCGGGUCCCUGCCCGAGCCCCAGGGGUGCUGAGAGACUCCCCAGCGCCCUGCGUGGGCUCCCGGCCUCUCCACAGUUGAGGAUCCUGUAAGGAGCGAGCCCUUUUCCCAUAAUGGCUGUACUGAGUGGGAGUGCUUUCCCGAUUGACCCGCUGUGAAUAGCAUUGCAGAUGAUCCCUGUAAAAGAAAUCUGAUCACAUUCACACGCUGCUCCGCCCAUUUCACUCAGUAAAGCCGAAGUCCUGCAGUGCUUUGCUCUGCCUUGGGCCACCCCGCCGUCCUCCCAGACCCUCCCUCCUUCUCACUCCACUCCAGCUGCCCUGGUCUAGUUCAGAGUCCCUGACUUUUCCCACCCCGGAAACACUUUCUUCUGGCGGCUCUUGUCCCCGACUCUUCCCACUCUCUUUAAGUCUUUGCUCAAAUGUUGCCUCUUCAGUGUGGCCUAGACCAUCACCACCUGGCCUUCGCCGCAUACCUUUUUCUCUGCAACUCCUACCCAACACACCGUACUAUAGAACUUACUAGCAUGCUAUAAAUUUAUUACCCUUAUCUGUUGCUUCUAACCAAAAGCGUGUUCCAUGAGAGCCAAGGUUCUCUGCCUACUUCUGUCUUGUUUCUGGGGCAGCCUCUGUACCUGGACACCAUAUACUCUUCAUACGGAUUUGUCAAAUCAAAUGAAAUUUAACAAUGCAAACUUCACAAGUAUGCAUAUUGUAGGAAAAUUCCCUAAAAUUCAGAAUUUCAGUCUACCUCUAUCUUUUCAAAUGACCACAGUGCUUUAUAAAAAUGACAUUGUUCUUUGAGACUGUUUCACAGAGUAAUUUGUGCAAAUGCAAUGUGCAAAAAGUCACAAUGGAGGUGUUUCCUCCCCCAUUCAAGAGCUGCUCUCUCCGUAAUCAGACAGCACCCCACACCCCAAGGCGUUUCUGUCCAGUGCUACUAAAGGAAAGCAGCUCCCCUUUUCCAGUUAUGGAAAAUAUGAGCAAUAAAGCAUUACUGUCAAUGCCGUGAUGCUCACU
Molecule: non-coding RNA, 1295 nt
Organism: Chlorocebus sabaeus (green monkey)
Lineage: Eukaryota; Metazoa; Chordata; Mammalia; Primates; Cercopithecidae
Source: RefSeq, a predicted model, not a curated record